CAUUUGCCAGAAUGUCUUCAUUAAUCAAGAACGAAAGUCAGAGGUUCGAAGGCGAUUAGAUACCGCCCUAGUUCUGACCGUAAACUAUGCCAUCUAGCGAUCCGAUGGGGUAUUGUUGCCUUGUCGAGGAGCUUCCCGGAAACGAAAGUCUUUCGGUUCCUGGGGUAGUAUGGUUGCAAAGCUGAAACUUAAAGAAAUUGACGGAAUGGCACCACCAGGAGUGGAGCCUGCGGCUUAAUUUGACUCAACACGGGAAAACUCACCCGGCCCGGACACCGUAAGGAUUGACAGAUUGAAAGCUCUUUCUCGAUUUGGUGGUUGGUGGUGCAUGGCCGUUCUUAGUUGGUGGAGCGAUUUGUCUGGUUUAUUCCGAUAACGAGCGAGACUCUAGCCUGCUAAAUAGUGGCUGAAUUUUUUGGUUCAGUCUACUUCUUAGAGGGAUAAGCGGUGUUUAGCCGCACGAGAUUGAGCGAUAACAGGUCUGUGAUGCCCUUAGAUGUCCGGGGCUGCACGCGCGCUACAAUGGAAGAAUCAGCUGGCCUAUCCAUUGCCGAAAGGCAUUGGUAAACCGUUGAAACUCUUCCGUGACCGGGAUAGGGAAUUGUAAUUAUUUCCCUUGAACGAGGAAUUCCUAGUAAGUGUGAGUCAUCAGCUCACGCUGAUUACGUCCCUGCCAUUUGUACACACCGCCCGUCGCUGUCCGGGACUGAGCUGUCUCGAGAGGACUGCGGACUGCUGUAUCGAGGUCUUCGGGUCGCGGUAUAGCGGGAAACAGUUCA
Molecule: ribosomal RNA, 779 nt
Filed under: Odilia sp. RPS-2013
Lineage: Eukaryota; Metazoa; Nematoda; Chromadorea; Rhabditida; Trichostrongylidae
Description: SSU rRNA
Rfam family: Eukaryotic small subunit ribosomal RNA
Source: RNAcentral